GAUUAACGCUGGCGGCGUGCAUAACACAUGCAAGUCGAACGAUGAAACUUAACUGAUUUCUUCGGAAUGAUUUUAAGUGGAUUAGUGGCGGACGGGUGAGUAACGCGUGAGUAACCUGCCUUGGAGAAGGGGAUAGCCUUUGGAAACGAAGAAUAAUACCCUAUGAUAUGAUAAUAUCUCAUGAUAUUAUCAUCAAAGAUUUAUCGCUCUAAGAUGGACUUGCGUCUGAUUAGUUAGUUGGUGAGGUAACAGCUCACCAAGGCAGCGAUCAGUAGCCGGCUUGAGAGAGUGUACGGCCACAUUGGGACUGGGACACGGCCCAGACUCCUACGGGAGGCAGCAGUGGGGAAUUUUGCACAAUGGGGGAAACCCUGAUGCAGCGACGCCGCGUGAUUUAGAAGGCCUUCGGGUUGUAAAAAUCUUUUGUAUGGGAAGAAAAUGACAGUACCAUACGAAUAAGGACCGGCUAAUUACGUG
RNAcentral lists this ribosomal RNA (477 nucleotides) under uncultured bacterium. Its description in RNAcentral is "partial 16S ribosomal RNA". It matches the Rfam family "Bacterial small subunit ribosomal RNA", at positions 28 to 507 of the family's 1533-position model. The record is from RNAcentral.